AGCGAACGCUGGCGGCAGGCUUAACACAUGCAAGUCGAGCGGGCGUAGCAAUACGUCAGCGGCAGACGGGUGAGUAACGCGUGGGAACGUACCUUUUGGUUCGGAACAACACAGGGAAACUUGUGCUAAUACCGGAUAAGCCCUUACGGGGAAAGAUUUAUCGCCGAAAGAUCGGCCCGCGUCUGAUUAGCUAGUUGGUGAGGUAACGGCUCACCAAGGCGACGAUCAGUAGCUGGUCUGAGAGGAUGAUCAGCCACAUUGGGACUGAGACACGGCCCAAACUCCUACGGGAGGCAGCAGUGGGGAAUAUUGGACAAUGGGCGCAAGCCUGAUCCAGCCAUGCCGCGUGAGUGAUGAAGGCCCUAGGGUUGUAAAGCUCUUUUGUGCGGGAAGAUAAUACGGU
This 403-nucleotide ribosomal RNA is filed under the name bacterium Ellin5085. RNAcentral's name for it is "bacterial SSU rRNA". It matches the Rfam family "Bacterial small subunit ribosomal RNA", at positions 29 to 457 of the family's 1533-position model. Lineage: Bacteria; Pseudomonadati; Pseudomonadota; Alphaproteobacteria; Hyphomicrobiales; Nitrobacteraceae. The record is from RNAcentral.